GCGGGCGCAGCCGGGGGGGUUGAAGGCGGCGGUUCGGGCUGCGCGCGGUGGGGGUGGUCACUGCAGCAGCCCCUCCCCCCCCCGCCGGCAGGGGGCGCUGUGUGGGCGGGGAGAGGCCGGCCUCGAGACGCACCCAGCGUCCCUCUCAGCCACCCUCCUCCCUGCCCCGGGCCACAGGUGCCAACCGCCACCGCACAUAAAGCAGGUAUGGGCGAAUUCGCGCCUUCCCUGGAGAAGGAAGAAAGUCUGCUGGUGCCUUCGUUCCCUUUCUUUUUAUCUCACGCAUGCUGUCAGCGCUGGACUGGAACAUGCCAGCUCUUCAAGUGUGCACAGCACCACCGCAUAACAGUUUAUUUAUUUGUCUCUGGUUGGGGCAGAGAAGCUGGUUGCCUUCUGGAGAAUGGAGUGGGUCAUCUUCCCAGAUGUCUUUCACUCAAGAGAAGGAAGCUGGCAGACCAAGCUGACACCUUCUUCUAAGGAGAGAAGCCAAUCAACUUACUCCUCUCACAGGCAAGAGAAGCUGACAGGUGGCCCUGGUAUCUUCCAAAGGACAGCCAUUUUAAUGCACUGAAGUUGUUGUUCACUUGUAAUAAGCAUAAAGACUUCAGUUGAUUCCACCUGUUGUCUCUUGUAUAAUGCUUAGAUUGUAAGAUCUUCAUCUCCAGGUUAUGAGUUAAUACAGUGAGCAGCACAAUAGCACUGAGGCUGGUUGGUGCUUCCUCAUUGCCCUCCUCCCCCACUGCCACUCCACCCCUGGGGUGGCAACUUACCCACCCUAGGCUUGACAACCUGCACUUGUUUGCUGUCUGCUCCAGCCAGUGAGCUGGGCUAAAGACUGCUAAUUGCCCUGUGCCGCCUCAAGGGGCCAGGGCCCUAGAAUUGUUACAGACACAUACCGUGCUAGCCAAUUGACAGGACUGUCAGCCACUAAGUGGCGUAGUGAGAUGGAGUGGCCUCCCUCUGAGGCUGACAGGGAGGAACCCCACUGGAAGCCACUACAGAAAGUUUUAAAUAGGGGAAAAUGCCCUUAAAUAAAGAUACAUGCAUAUUGUGCCUCAGUCUUUGGACAGUUGCUACAAUCUCAGCAAUUCUUCCUAAUCUAAUAUUUUGCAUUACACCUGUUGCACGUUAUCUAUAUCUCCCCAGAAGCCCCACUUUCUGAAUGGCCUUGGGGACAUCCAAAAAAUACAGAUAGCCUCAAUUUUUGGAUGAUGAAAAUUCAUUCCUAUAUGAAUUCCUAUAUUUUGGGGAAUAAAGCUGAAAUUAGGAUAUUCUGAAAUUCAAAAAAUUGGUUCAGACAAACGGCGCUUACUCAUAUACAGAAUAACAUUUGGGAAUGAUUGUGCUAUGGAUCCAUAGCCAACAUCAUUUAUCCCAUCCCUUACAAUCUUAUUUUCUUCUGUUACCAAAUACUAGUAAUUUGGUCAACAGAUUAGUCCUGCAACCACACACUUUGUUACCAUUAACAAAAUACAGUUUUAUUCAGAGCAAACCUGCAUGUUUCUGCUGGUACUGAUUUAGUCCUCUGAUGGAUGAAGCAUAUAGUGUAAUGGAUGAAUCCACCUGGAAUAACAAAGAGAGUUUUAAAAAACUUCAUUUUUCCAAAGUGGGACAUUAGGAUCCUUGAAAUUGUCCCCCCAUCCCCCAUCAAACAAAUUUUACAGCUCCAAUCCAAGGGGCAUGACAGAAUGUAGAGACUGGACUAUCCAAAGGAUCAGCAUCUGGCUUCCAAAGAGGCAAGUGGACAAAACUGGAAUGCUCAUCUGCCCUGAAAGAAAUACAUCUUUUGUCGUAAUCUCUACCAGAAGUCGGAGAUACAGAGAUAUCUUAGCACAUUGCAAAUAGCAAGGAAUUUUUUGCUGUAUAAAAUGCUAACGAUUUUGUUUACUCUGCUACAUAGUUAACCCUAUUUAGGUUCCAUCCUAUGGACUCAAUCCUGCAAAAGUAUCCAUAAGGAUGGACUCUCAAUGGUAGAGAUGUUCCAAGUAGUACAGGGGAUUUAGCCAUAUAUAGGUCAUUAAAAUUCCAUCUUCUUUUUCACUGCUUUGAAAAUCUCAGCAGGACUCCUUGUGGGUGUACAGUUCACCUGCAUGGAUCCCUUUGCAAGACUGAGGUCUAUGGCUGAAACCAUCGGCAACAACCAUAUUUAUGGUACGUGUACCUUUAUUGCACUCACUGAGCUUCGGUGCCCAAAUCUGGGUAUGAUAUAGACAUUAGGCCAAAUCUGGCUCUCAGUUAACCUGGUGCAAGAUUCAGUGGAGAUGCACCACUGUCAUUGAGUGCUUGUUCCAUUAGUUCGUAAAGGAUUCAGAAGUAGUUCUGAAGCAAGUAUAGGAUUAAGUAAGUCUUGCUUGGCUUUUGUUUUGGAAAGUGGAUUUCUACGUCCAUUUC
This is a long non-coding RNA of Mauremys mutica (yellowpond turtle), 2391 nucleotides long. RefSeq lists it as uncharacterized. The transcript is spliced from 4 exons. NCBI's taxonomy places the organism in Eukaryota, Metazoa, Chordata, Testudines, Geoemydidae. The record is from RefSeq and is a predicted model, not a curated record.